UAUCAUACCUUUUAUUUGUCCAGAUAUCUUGGUGAGUUGAAAAAGUCUGUCCGAAAUAAGGCAAAGCCCGAAGGAUCACUUGUGGAAGCAUGGGUCGCAUAUGAGUCACUUACUUUUUGUGUAAUGUAUCUUCAAGAUGUUGAGACAGCUUUCAAUCGCCCUCAACGCAAUAAUGACAGUGGUGUCAGAAAAGAAAAACUGUAUGUUUUUGCCCAAAUUGCGCGACCAUUCGGCGAUCCUGUAAAAGGCGAAUCCUUUACUAAAAAGGACAUGGAGGUAGCGCAUUGGUUCAUACUCAACAAUUGUGAUGAGGCUUUGCCAUACCUUGAACAACAUGAACAGUUGAUGAAGCGGGAACAUCCUUCACAUUUAUAUGCCAAGAAGCACUGUGAAUUGUUUCCUUCGUGGUUUCACAAACAUGUAAGUUGUAUGUGUUUUGAAUUGAGCAUUUUUUCCAAAUUGUUCAUGGCCGUCUUUAAAUUUGGUUGCACUAACAUGUUAACUUUUUGUAUAUGUUAUAUUAGAUGAACAAAUUGAAGGAAUUGAAUUCACCAUCUUACGAUGAAGAAUUAUAUAACUUGGCGAGAGGACCGCUUCACGUUGAAUGGUUCUCAGGUUGUCAUGUCAACGGGAUCAAGUUCUUGGGGGCAACACGUGAUGACAAGUUGUGUACUCAAAAUAGUGGUGUCCAUGUCCCGAGUGCUGGCGAUAGUGAAGACAUUGAUUUUUAUGGCAAACUAACUAGUGUAAUACAAUUGCUUUACAAAGACAGAUGUCAAGUGAUACUGUUUAAGUGUCUUUGGUUUGAUACAAACCCACAUAACUGAACGAGUGUUAAGCGAGACCAUGGUUUACUAUCAGUAAACACUACCAAAUGUUGGUACGAUGAAGACCCAUACAUUUUGGAAACUAUGGCGAAACAAAUAUUCUAUCUAGACGACCCUAAAGCCGGCAAUGGUUGGAAAGUUGUUCAGAAGAUUGAUCGAAGAGGGCUAUAUGAUAUUCCGGAACUAGAUCAUGAUGACAACGACAACAACGUCGCUGACCAACAGUUUUCAUCUUUGAUAGAAAUUGGUGAAGAAAUACUACGGGAUACUAAUGUUGUCCAAGAACCAUUUGAAGUAGUUGGAGUUCCCGAAUUCGAAAUAUCAAUUGACCUUGGUGAUCUGCUGCGAUACAAUGCACCGAAAGAGGCAAACGAAGAUAAGGACGAAUGGAAAUCCGAAAAUGAUAGUAGUGAGGAUAGCGAGAGUUAUUACUGUAGUUCGGAUGAGGAUUAAUAUAAACUUGUAAAGGAAACAACCAGGGGGCUGAGGAGAGGCAAAGUCAAACUAAAAAAGGCACGGGAAGAAUCUGAUCGUGAUCGUUUGAAGGUAUUUUCCAUUUUUUACCAAUCUGAACAACGAAGUACAAGUUAUUUAUACUCGUUAUAGGUUAUAUUUAUGCAGAUAUGAUAGUAUUUAUGCUCAUUCGAUUUUGAAGCUGCAUUUUGUUUUAGCAUGUAAUCAUUUGCUUUUAUUAUGAAUUGACUUGUUCAUUUUGGAUUCACUUCAUUUGGAUCAGGUGUAGAUGUGCACAUAGACUAAAUUAUUCAGAGUUCUAUGUGUUUACUUAUGUUUGUUCACUUCAUUUGGAUUAGGUCAUAUUUAUGCAGAUGUGCUAGUAUUUAUGCUCAUUCGGUUUUGAAGCUGCAUUUUGUUUUAGCAUGUAAUCAUUUGCUUUUAUUAUGAAUUGACAUGUUCAUUUUGGAUUCACUUCAUUUGGAUCAGGUGUAGAUGUCCACAUAGAUUAAGUUCUGCCGUGAUUGCUGUUGCAUUCUUUGUUGCAAGUCUGUAAACUCGUCCUGUGCAGGUUAUGAUUACAUUCGAUGCGAAGCAUUGAAGCAUGAUGGUAGCAUAUGUGGGCAUGCUGCCCAUAUUGAUUGUGCCUUGCAAUGUUACAUGGCUGGCACUGUAAGAGGAAGCAUUGGCUUGGAUUCUGAAUACUAUUGUCGGGGCUGUGAUGAAAAAACAGAUUUGGUUUCAUAUGUCACAAGGCUUUGCUUGCGAAUCUCUUGAUUCUCGGGAUGAUGUUGAGAAGAUUUUAAAUUUUGGUAUCUGCAUUUUGCAGGGUUCACAGAAAACCAGUGCAAGGGACCUGCUGAAACGUAUUGAAGUGGCCAUUGAAAAGCUCAAAUGUGGGACUAAUCUUGAAGAUAUUGGCUUGUGGUCGAUUAUGAAGGAUAAUAUUGGCUCCUUUUCACAUAAAACAUUUCUGUUUCUCCAUUGACGCUUUGCUUCCAAAGCUCACAGAGAAAAGAAAACCCACUAAGACCCACCUCUCACAUCUUGCUGGAACUAAAACUCUUCACUUGUGGUGUGUGACCAGAGAGGACCGAGCUACAUGGAUUGAGGCACUACUCGGUGCUAAAGAUCUUUUCCCUAGAGUGUUUACGAGCAAUGAUUUGGUACCUUCGGAAGAUAUAGUUGUUUCGACAGAGAAGCUAAGACUAAGAUUAGCACAUGAGGGAAUUGGUGAGCCGGUGAUCAAAGACUGCGAGUCAAUUAUGCUCUUAGAAGUGUCAGAGCUUCAAAAUCAAAUGAAGGGUCUUCAGCGUAAACAUGUGAUGUUGUUGGAGUCAUUGAGGCAAUUAGAGACAGAAAAAAUAGAGCUGGAAACUACAGUAGUGGAUGAAACAAAGGAGCGUGAGUCAUACAGACAGGGGAAUGGGAGAUUUAGUGAUGCUCUAAGCAGUGCUUCCUAUUGUAUAUUUGAAAGAGAUUCUUUCUUUUCUGAUCGAUUGCAUGGAGUUGAGGAGAUCAAGACAAUUAAAUAACCAUAUGUGAAAAAGAGGGAUGAUUUGCCAGAACCCAAGGAGAAAGAGAAGCAUAUUGGCUUGUGGUCGAUUAUGAAAAAUAAUAUUGGGAAGGACUUGUCUGGAGUUUGUCUUCCUGUUUAUUUUAAUGAACCACUCUCAUCGUUGCAAUAUUGAUGAAUACUUUUGAUGAAUACUUUUGGUUGGUCCUUCAAGAUUGAUGAAUACUUUUGGUGGGUAUCAAUCAAUAUAGUAUAUAUUGAUGAAUA
This is a non-coding RNA of Malus domestica (apple), 3063 nucleotides long. The record is from RefSeq and is a predicted model, not a curated record. Lineage: Eukaryota; Viridiplantae; Streptophyta; Magnoliopsida; Rosales; Rosaceae.